Molecule: ribosomal RNA, 497 nt
Filed under: uncultured bacterium
Lineage: Bacteria
Description: partial 16S ribosomal RNA
Rfam family: Bacterial small subunit ribosomal RNA
Source: RNAcentral
GAUGAACGCUGGCGGCGUGCCUAGUACAUGCAAGUCGAGCGAACGGACGAGAAGCUUGCUUCUCUGAUGUUAGCGGCGGACGGGUGAGUAACACGUGGAUAACCUACCUAUAAGACUGGGAUAACUUCGGGAAACCGGAGCUAAUACCGGAUGAUAUUUUGAACCGCAUGGUUCAAAAGUGAAAGACGGUCUUGCUGUCACUUAUAGAUGGAUCCGCGCUGCAUUAGCUAGUUGGUAAGGUAACGGCUUACCAAGGCAACGAUGCAUAGCCGACCUGAGAGGGUGAUCGGCCACACUGGAACUGAGACACGGUCCAGACUCCUACGGGAGGCAGCAGUAGGGAAUCUUCCGCAAUGGGCGAAAGCCUGACGGAGCAACGCCGCGUGAGUGAUGAAGGUCUUCGGAUCGUAAAACUCUGUUAUUAGGGAAGAACAUAUGUGUAAGUAACUGUGCACAUCUUGGCGGUACCUAAUCAGAAAGCCACGGCUAACUACGUG